UUAACAAAUACGAAGAAGAGUGUUUGAAUGACGUGGCUUUCAGGCUUAGACGGAAGAGAGCCAGCUUCAUUUGCAGGAGCCCUGGACUAUCACUUAAGCGUCAUUCAAAACAGAAACAACACAAACAUUAAGGAUGGUGACUGAUGUUCAGCUGGCAAUCUUUGCCAACAUGCUUGGAGUGUCGUUAUUCCUGCUGGUUGUGCUCUAUCAUUAUGUUGCUGUGAAUAAUCCCAAGAAACAGGAGUAGAUUUCACUACAAUGACUGGAGAAGUGAGAUAAGAGUCGGAGUCCCAAUCUUCCC
Molecule: RNA transcript, 301 nt
Organism: Cyprinodon variegatus (sheepshead minnow)
Lineage: Eukaryota; Metazoa; Chordata; Actinopteri; Cyprinodontiformes; Cyprinodontidae
Gene: ost4
Gene name: oligosaccharyltransferase complex subunit 4 (non-catalytic)
Exons: 3
Source: RefSeq, a predicted model, not a curated record